AGCAAGCUAAAGCCUAUCCUCUCUUCUUCUCCUCUCUUUUAUUCUUCAAGAAACCAAACUCCUUUCAUCAUCUUCAAGCUUAUGACUCCAUAGCAAGGACCUAUAUUGACGUUGGAAGUAUCAAUGAGUAUAGAGGUAAUGAUGAAAGGGCUGGGGAGCAAGGCAUUGCUGCAGAG
This is a long non-coding RNA of Juglans regia (Persian walnut), 176 nucleotides long. RefSeq lists it as uncharacterized. The transcript is spliced from 3 exons. NCBI's taxonomy places the organism in Eukaryota, Viridiplantae, Streptophyta, Magnoliopsida, Fagales, Juglandaceae. The record is from RefSeq and is a predicted model, not a curated record.